GCCGGGGUGGUGGAAAUGGUAGACACGCACGUUUGAGGGGCGUGUGGGGUAACCCGUACGAGUUCAAUUCUCGUCUCCGGCACCA
RNAcentral lists this transfer RNA (85 nucleotides) under Candidatus Caccocola faecigallinarum. RNAcentral's name for it is "tRNA-Leu". It matches the Rfam family "tRNA". Rfam says of the family: Transfer RNA (tRNA) molecules are approximately 80 nucleotides in length. Their secondary structure includes four short double-helical elements and three loops (D, anti-codon, and T loops). The record is from RNAcentral. Lineage: Bacteria; Thermotogati; Synergistota; Synergistia; Synergistales; Synergistaceae.